AUUGAACGCUGGCGGCAGGCCUAACACAUGCCAGUCGGACGGUAACGGGAAGAAGCUUGCUUCUUUGCCGACUAGUGGCGGGCGGGUGAGUAAUGUCUUGGAAACUGCCCGAUGGAGGGGGAUAACCACUGGAAACGGUGGCUAAUACCGCAUAAUGUCUUCGGACCAAAGUGGGGGACCUCCGGGCCUCACACCAUCGGAUGUGCCCAGACGGGAUUAGCUGGUAGGUGAGAUAAAGGCUCACCUAGGCGACGAUCCCUAGCUGGUCUGAGAGGAUGACCAGACACACGGGAACUGAGAAACGGUCCAGACUCCUACGGGAGGAAGCAGUGGGGAAUAUUGCACAAUGGGCGAAAGCCUGAUGCAGCAAUGCCGCGUGUAUGAAGAAGGCCUUCGGGUUGUAAAGUACUUUCAGCGGGGAGGAAGGGAUGAGGUUUAAUACGGCUCGUCAUUGACGUUACCCGCAGAAGAAGCACCGGCUAACUCCGUG
Molecule: ribosomal RNA, 490 nt
Filed under: uncultured bacterium
Lineage: Bacteria
Description: partial 16S ribosomal RNA
Rfam family: Bacterial small subunit ribosomal RNA
Source: RNAcentral